Molecule: non-coding RNA, 266 nt
Organism: Ciona intestinalis (vase tunicate)
Lineage: Eukaryota; Metazoa; Chordata; Ascidiacea; Phlebobranchia; Cionidae
Source: RefSeq, a predicted model, not a curated record
GGUUGCACAUUUCAAAAUACUUCUCAACCUGUAAACAGUAUAUCGUUUUUCAGAGUUAUAUUAUAGUAUAUUAUAUAGGGAAAAUGAUAAAAUUAUGGUUAUUUUUGAUACUGGUUUCAUUACUUGUUAAUUUAAAUGACGCAAUUCAAUGUUAUAACUGCAACGGUGCCUCCAGCAACACGGAAUGCAAUGCCAAUCCUGUACAAACAUGCUCUACUGGUGACGAUGGCUCCUGUAUGAAUGAAAUCCGGUUGCAACGAUGCGGC